Molecule: ribosomal RNA, 259 nt
Filed under: uncultured prokaryote
Description: partial 16S ribosomal RNA
Rfam family: Bacterial small subunit ribosomal RNA
Source: RNAcentral
UACGGAGGAUGCAAGCGUUAUCCGGGUUUAUUGGGUUUAAAGGGUGCGCAGGUUGUUUGAUAAGUCAGUGGUGAAAGUCUGUCGCUUAACGGUAGGAUUGCCAUUGAUACUGUUGGACUUGAAUAUGGAUGAGGUAGGCGGAAUGUGUAGUGUAGCGGUGAAAUGCAUAGAUAUUACACACAACACCGAUUGCGAAGGCAGCUUACUAAUCCAUCAUUGACGCUGAGGCACGAAAGCGUGGGGAUCGAACGGGAUUAGA